This is a non-coding RNA of Nomia melanderi (Alkali bee), 1031 nucleotides long. The record is from RefSeq and is a predicted model, not a curated record. Lineage: Eukaryota; Metazoa; Arthropoda; Insecta; Hymenoptera; Halictidae.
AAUUACCAACGAAUUAAUACGUCUGAGAUAAAAUUAUCUCGGAUCCGUUUAAUUAGUGAACACGGAUGGUCUAUUUUCAUCGGUGAUUAUCUCUUGGAAUAUAUACAGUGGCGAUAAUAGAGAGAUGGAGCUUACGGACAAGUUGCAUGAUAAGACCGACUGAGUACAUGGAUAUCCUGUAAGAUCGAUGAUCUCUAUUCGUGAUGCAAAAUUUGAAUGUAAAAUGUACAGGAAAUGCAACGGAAAAGGAUUCUUGAUUGUUAUUUAAAGCAUGAUUUUUAAUAAAACACUUACCAUUCAUUAGCUUACGAGCUUUAGUUAGAAAUAGACGAUAAUUAAGCAUCUGCAUGAGACGACUAUAUAAUGGCCCAUCGAUUCUUGGAACUUUAUUGCACAAGUCUACCUUAUAAGUUUCUAAAACGUUUCAUUUAGAAAAUCACAACAUAGACAACACGGUUGAGACCAAUGAGCAUGAUACAAUACAGAAGUAUACAUUCGAUAGUGAAGCAAAUAAGUAUAUCCAUUAAACAAUACUUCUUAUCGUACUCGAGAGAUUGCAACAUUGUGAAGGUACUUUGCUAGUUGGUUACAUCUACAAGAAACAAGGAUAUCCCGUGAGACUUGAAUGGAUUAUUUUGUUAGUUUGCUCAUGAUCUCAGACUGAUGGAGGGGAGGCAACAACAAAGACAGGGUCCACUGCAUUGGACUGAUCUUCUGAUACCAGCCUGGCAGAUUCUCCAAGUGCAGAGACACUCCACCAGCCAAAGUUAUUUCCCCUAUCACAAUUCCAGAAAACAGGGAAGCCAGAUACGUCCACUUACAUGUGUGAGCGAACAGUAUACAAAUAAAGUGCUGCAGGAUUAGAUACAUCAAGCCAAUGCUAAGGUAGUUCCAAAGAGACGUCAGAGUCUCAUCAGGCACAAGGUGAAGCCCAGACAUUGCAUAACCAGGAGCCAGAUAGAUCAGAUAAACUAUGCACCAAGACACUGCUCCGCAAACCAGCUGGAAACAAGGAGCAAAUUAGCAAUAAC